GAUGAACGCUGGCGGCGUGCCUAAUACAUGCAAGUCGAGCGGUAAGGUCCCUUCGGGGGUACACGAGCGGCGGACGGCUGAGUAACGCGUAGGAACGUACCCCAAAGUGAGGGAUAAGCACCAGAAAUGGUGUCUAAUACCGCAUGUGAUCCACGGAGUAAAGCUUCGGCGCUUUGGGAACGGCCUGCGUAAGAUUAGCUAGUUGGUGAGGUAAUGGCUCACCAAGGCGACGAUCUUUAGCUGGUCUGAGAGGAUGAUCAGCCAGACUGGGACUGAGACACGGCCCAGACUCCUACGGGAGGCAGCAGUAGGGAAUUUUCCACAAUGGACGAAAGUCUGAUGGAGCAACGCCGCGUGCAGGAUGAAUGCCUUCGGGUUGUAAACUGCUUUUAUAGGUGACGAAUAUGACGGUAGCCUAUGAAUAAGCUUCGGCUAAUUCCGUGCCAGCAGCCGCCGUAA
Molecule: ribosomal RNA, 459 nt
Filed under: uncultured bacterium
Lineage: Bacteria
Description: partial 16S ribosomal RNA
Rfam family: Bacterial small subunit ribosomal RNA
Source: RNAcentral